Molecule: long non-coding RNA, 723 nt
Organism: Osmerus eperlanus (European smelt)
Lineage: Eukaryota; Metazoa; Chordata; Actinopteri; Osmeriformes; Osmeridae
Exons: 3
Source: RefSeq, a predicted model, not a curated record
UUAAAGCACCGCGCAGAUAUUCAAAGACGGCCGAACGAGACGAAAAAAGCGCCCCUUAAAAGAAGUGCUACGGUGACUCACACCCCCCUUUCCCGGUUUUACGGGAAAUGGGAUGUGUUUUUAUUCAGUUUUUUCCCCCUUCUUCCAGGAGCAGGGUCAGGUGGCGGGUUAAUGUCUGUCUGUGUGAAUGUGUGUAGUCUGCCUCCGGGAGUACAGCUUUAAUUAUCGCCUGGAGUCUCGAGUGGGUUGAGAAAACCAGUCAGACAGAAAGACGUCCAACUGACCACCGUGGAACACUGAAACUCAGACAUAAACAGCGGUUGAGGAGGAGAGUCGCCGCGAAAAGAACUCUGCGGUCGGCAACACACCACCCGCUCGCCUGUUUCAGGUGUAAACAUGUGCCCCUCCUUCCCUGUCCUCGAGUGGCUGGCAUGCCGUGUGCCCAGGCUGAGCCCUGAGUGUUCUAGCCUCCCUCCCUCCACCCCCGAGGCUUUGGGAGUGGUUGGGCCCGGCAGGUCGUCGUGUACCUGUAACUUUGCCAAGGCAGUAAAUCUGAGACCUGGCAGGGAGGGGGAAAAGAGGAGGAGCAGUAGGAAGACAACAAUCGCACGGUGGGACCAACAGACAGAACCAGACAGACAGGUCGUCCAUGUAGACAGGAAGUCCUUCCCGGACGAGGGUGUGUACAAGACGGGGAGUGCCCCAGACGUGGGCACACACACA